AUUGAACGCUGGCGGCAGGCCUAACACAUGCAAGUCGAGCGGUAGAGAGGUGCUUGCACCUCUUGAGAGCGGCGGACGGGUGAGUAAUGCCUAGGAAUCUGCCUAGUGGUGGGGGAUAACGUUCGGAAACGGACGCUAAUACCGCAUACGUCCUACGGGCGAAAGCGGGGGAUCUUCGGACCUCGCGCCAUUAGAUGAGCCUAGGUCGGAUUAGCUAGUUGGUGAGGUAAUGGCUCACCAAGGCGACGAUCCGUAACUGGUCUGAGAGGAUGAUCAGUCACACUGGAACUGAGACACGGUCCAGACUCCUACGGGAGGCAGCAGUGGGGAAUAUUGGACAAUGGGCGAAAGCCUGAUCCAGCCAUGCCGCGUGUGUGAAGAAGGUCUUCGGAUUGUAAAGCACUUUAAGUUGGGAGGAAGGGUAGUAACCUAAUACGUUGCUACUUUGACGUUACCGACAGAAUAAGCACCGGCUAACUUCGUGCCAGCAGCCGCAGUAACAC
RNAcentral lists this ribosomal RNA (503 nucleotides) under uncultured bacterium. RNAcentral describes it as "bacterial SSU rRNA". It matches the Rfam family "Bacterial small subunit ribosomal RNA", at positions 30 to 526 of the family's 1533-position model. The record is from RNAcentral.